UCCCUGGUGGCUCAAGUGAAGCGUCUGCCUGCAAUGCAGGAGAUCUAGGUUCGAUUCCUGGGUUAGGAA
Molecule: transfer RNA, 69 nt
Filed under: Ovis aries (sheep)
Lineage: Eukaryota; Metazoa; Chordata; Mammalia; Artiodactyla; Bovidae
Rfam family: tRNA
About the family: Transfer RNA (tRNA) molecules are approximately 80 nucleotides in length.
Source: Rfam by way of RNAcentral